AGCUGAUUUGGUAGCCAAGGAUGACUUGCCUACACUACAUGCAUAUAUGUGUAAACUUUGCUAUAUAUAGCUCUGUUUUUUUCCUUUUGUAUGGAAAAAAUAGAGCUAUUCGGAGUUUAUAUAGGCAUGUCCUCCUUGGCUAUUCGGAGUAGCUCC
Molecule: non-coding RNA, 156 nt
Organism: Triticum aestivum (bread wheat)
Lineage: Eukaryota; Viridiplantae; Streptophyta; Magnoliopsida; Poales; Poaceae
Source: Rfam